GCUGUCUGUUGCAGGUCUCUGAAGUCUGCAGACUCUAUCAUUUGUUGAAGUGCAACUUCUAGAAUUGCUGUAUUGGCAAGAGCUGGAGGGCUGCAGGAUGUCUAUCUACACAACAGGCUUUCUCAGUCACUUGAGGGCUAAAACAUUCUGCAAUAGUGGCGGUGGCCUUUGAAGUUGUCUCUCAUCAUCACUACCUCCUGUACAGAUACAAACUUUCAUCUCUCUGAGAUUGUUCUGUCAUUUCUCGCAAUCCAAAGUUUCUACUUGGGUAAAUUAGAGACUUGUGACAGUCAAGAGUGCAGAUGUUGCCCCUUAAAGGAGAAAUCAACUGAUCUUGCAGUCAGCUUACAGAGGACGCAGAAGAUGAACGCGUGGAACUUUGCUGGAAGAAUCUGCAGCGAUGGAUCUCAUCCAUUCGUUGAAAGAUGGAGGUUCCUUGGAUUUCCAGUGUUUUGGGAUAAGUCAUUUGGCUAUUUGAAUUAAAUAAAAGGACAACCUCUCGUUACCUUUCUUAGUGAGCCGCCAAUUGAGCAUGGAGGAGGGAACGCCUGUGUCGCCCAGAGGAAUCGGCAUCGCCCAACAUAGAAUGCACAUAGGCUCGACCCGAACUUCAACCGCACCAUUCAUCUUGAUCAUUGAUCCAGAUCCAUUUGCGAGGAAGCAGUCCACAGUCAUCGCAAGACUCCUCUACCCUCACUGCUCCAGCCACGGAACCACCGACAGACGGCCAUAUCAACACAGUCCAUCAAAAGGCAGAAAAACAAAAGCAGAAAAAACAAAACAAAGACAC
Xenopus laevis (African clawed frog) is the source of this 790-nucleotide long non-coding RNA. RefSeq lists it as uncharacterized. The transcript is spliced from 7 exons. Lineage: Eukaryota; Metazoa; Chordata; Amphibia; Anura; Pipidae. The record is from RefSeq and is a predicted model, not a curated record.